This 497-nucleotide ribosomal RNA is filed under the name uncultured bacterium. RNAcentral describes it as "partial 16S ribosomal RNA". It matches the Rfam family "Bacterial small subunit ribosomal RNA", at positions 28 to 507 of the family's 1533-position model. The record is from RNAcentral.
GACGAACGCUGGCGGCGUGCCUAAUACAUGCAAGUUGAGCGAUGAAGAUUGGUGCUUGCACCAAUUUGAAGAGCAGCGAACGGGUGAGUAACGCGUGGGGAAUCUGCCUUUGAGCGGGGGACAACAUUUGGAAACGAAUGCUAAUACUGCAUAACAACUUUAAACAUAAGUUUUAAGUUUGAAAGAUGCAAUUGCAUCACUCAAAGAUGAUCCCGCGUUGUAUUAGCUAGUUGGUGAGGUAAAGGCUCACCAAGGCGAUGAUACAUAGCCGACCUGAGAGGGUGUUCGGCCACAUUGGGACUGAGACACGGCCCAAACUCCUACGGGAGGCAGCAGUAGGGAAUCUUCGGCAAUGGACGAAAGUCUGACCGAGCAACGCCGCGUGAGUGAAGAAGGUUUUCGGAUCGUAAAACUCUGUUGGUAGAGAAGAACGUUGGUGAGAGUGGAAAGCUCAUCAAGUGACGGUAACUACCCAGAAAGGGACGGCUAACUACGUG